RNAcentral lists this long non-coding RNA (1114 nucleotides) under Homo sapiens (human). RNAcentral's name for it is "non-protein coding lnc-C15orf41-6:3". Lineage: Eukaryota; Metazoa; Chordata; Mammalia; Primates; Hominidae. The record is from RNAcentral.
AGACAGAUGAGCCAGCAAUACAGUAGUUACAUGUGUCUGGGAUUUGUUUUUUAAAUUAUAUGUACCGCUUUUAAUAGCCUGAUUACAGCUGUUCAGUAAGUGAUGCCUCUAGACUGAAGAGGACCGAAAUGAGAAGCAGGCCAGCUAAGAGGGCUGGGAGCAGCACGUUCCCCUUGUUAUUGCCAGCUAGUGGGGAGAGAACAUAUGGCCACUUUACAAAGGUUAAGAAUCACAAACAGCAGACAAGAAUGAAUGAUUAAUGCUGGAGUUCCUGGAGUAUGGGCCAAAGAAGUUCCCCCAAAGCCUUACAAACAGAAACACAUGCCUCUGCCAGUCCCCACAUGGGAUCCCAGAUGAGAAACCUCUCAAGGAGAAUAACAAAAUGCAGUUGGAAUCAAAGUGUAUGAAGCCUCCCAGACACACCCAGCAGGAGUCACCAGGAAGCAGCUGGGAAGAGGCUGACAGCCCACCAGCAAUGAGACCACAGGAGCUGCUGCUCCCGGGAGGGAGUCUGCUGUCAUCCUCCACUUGCUAGAGUUCUCCCUCCUCUCUGCUUGUUACACACUGCUUCCCUGCUCUAGAGCUUGCUCCAGAGAUGACUUCAACAGAACAGAGUGGCUCUUCCUUACUUGAAACACAGAUCCAUUGUACCUGUGGCUUUGGCUCUGGAUUGUCUUUCUACUUAGAGGAGAACAAGGGUGUGACUGAGCCACAUGAUGGAAAGUAAAGGUACAACCAAAAAUUGUGGCGUUUCCUCUUGUUUAUGACAUUAAAUUUCCCUCAGCCUCUACCCUCAUGCUGCCUGCUUCUCUAAGGCUGCUCCCAGGGAACAAGUUAAUAAUCUCAAAUACAGUAAUUUUUGCCCCUUUCAGAGGUAAGAGUUUAACAGGGGACAAAGGACGAAUUUUCCAUCAUGGCAUUUCAAACAUCAGUAAAAUGUUGAUUAUUUUUCAGCACUCUUGAUAUUAUAUCUGAGUAGCUCUUGUAGAAAUUAAUGCAAGCUGUGUUUUCACUGCAAUGUGCCCUUACUGUAUUCACAUGCAGCGAGAGGUUAUGCUGAUGGAACUUGGCCAUGAUUUGUGAUAUUGUUUAUUUACAUGUAUUAAUAUAAAAU